This 864-nucleotide ribosomal RNA is filed under the name Bordetella bronchiseptica. RNAcentral describes it as "bacterial SSU rRNA". It matches the Rfam family "Bacterial small subunit ribosomal RNA", at positions 30 to 896 of the family's 1533-position model. Lineage: Bacteria; Pseudomonadati; Pseudomonadota; Betaproteobacteria; Burkholderiales; Alcaligenaceae. The record is from RNAcentral.
UAACUGUCAUGCGUAAAGUCUUUCUCUUGCAGUCGGACGGCGCCGGGCUUCGGCCUGGUGGCGAGCUGGCGAACGGGUGAGUAAUGUAUCGGAUCGUGCCCAGUAGCGGGGGAUUCUAUACGAAAGCGUGGCUAAUACCGCAUACGCCCUACGGGGGAAGCGGGGGACCUUCGGGCCUCGCACUAUUGGAGCGGCCGAUAUCGGAUUAGCUAGUUGGUGGGGUAACGGCCUACCAAGGCGACGAUCCGUAGCUGGUUUGAGAGGACGACCAGCCACACUGGGACUGAGACACGGCCCAGACUCCUACGGGAGGCAGCAGUGGGGAAUUUUGGACAAUGGGGGCAACCCUGAUCCAGCCAUCCCGCGUGUGCGAUGAAGGCCUUCGGGUUGUAAAGCACUUUUGGCAGGAAAGAAACGGCACGGGCUAAUAUCCUGUGCAACUGACGGUACCUGCAGAAUAAGCACCGGCUAACUACGUGCCAGCAGCCGCGGUAAUACGUAGGGUGCAAGCGUUAAUCGGAAUUACUGGGCGUAAAGCGUGCGCAGGCGGUUCGGAAAGAAAGAUGUGAAAUCCCAGGCUUACCUUGGAACUGCAUUUUUACUACCGGGCUAGAGUGUGUCAGAGGGAGGUGGAAUUCCGCGUGUAGCAGUGAAAUGCGUAGAUAUGCGGAGGAACACCGAUGGCGAAGGCAGCCUCCUGGGAUAACACUGACGCUCAUGCACGAAAGCGUGGGGGAGCAACAGGAUUAGAUACCCUGGUUAGUCCACGCCCUUAACGAUGUCACUAGCUGUUGGGGACUUCGGGCCUUGGUUAGCGCAGCUAACGCGUGAGUUGACCGCCUGGGGGAGUACGGUCGCAGAUUU